CCAGCUGGAUCACUGUGAUAACGUCAGCUGGAUCACUGUGAUAACGCCAGCUGGAUCACUGUGAUAACGCCAGCUGGAUCACUGUGAUAAUACCAGCUGGAUCACUGUGAUAACAACUUUACUGAAUCUAUUCAUCAAAUGGUUUUGUCGCAUCAUUCUGCUGUAGCAGGGGUUCCUUUAUCACAUAAAAAAAUGCAUAAAUUAGUUAUAAUAAUAAUAAUAAUAAAGGAUAAGGAAAAUAAAGUCUAGAACCAAUUUUCCCAAAUGUUAUACCGCUACUAAAUAUGUUUCAUAAUUUAUAUGAACCCUUUAAUUAUACAUAUUCUCUUUUACAGAAAAUAUAUAGAUCAAUUGAUUGUGACAAAGUCACACAUUGUAUAAGAUUACUUCCCAAGCACUUCAUUUUUUAAAUUGAACCUUUGUUUUAACAGGGAAGACAUGUGCCCUGUAUAUACAACAUGAACAUACAGUUCCUUCUGAAAGUAUUCAGACCCCUUGACUUUUUCCACAUUUUGUUAUGUUACAGGCUUAUUCCAAAAACGGUUACAUUUUUUAAAAUCCUCAUCAAUCUACGAACAAUACUCCAUAAUGACAAAGCGAAAAUAGGUUAUUAGACAUUUUUGCAAAUGUAUUAAAAUCAAAAAACAGAAAUACCUUAUUUGCAUAAGUAUUCAGACCCUUUGCUAUGAGACUAAAUUAAGCUCAGGUGCAUCUUGUUUCCAUUGAUCAUCUUUGAGACAACUUGAUUGGAGUCCAUCUGUGGUAAAUUCAAUUAAUUGGACAUGAUUUGGAAAAGCACACACCUGUCUGUAUGAGGUCCCACAGUUGACAGUGCAUAUCAGAGCAAAAACCAAGCCAUGAGGUUGAAGGAAUUGUCCGUAGAGCUCUGAGACAGGAUUGUGUCAAGGCACAGAUCUGGGGAAGGGUACCAAAAAAUGUCUGCAGCAUUGAAGGUCCCCAAUAACACAGUGGCCUCCAUCAUUAUUAAACGGAAGAAGUUUGGAACCACCAAGACUCUUCCUAGAGCUGGCCAAACUGAGCAAUCGGGGGAGUAGGGCCUUGAUCAGGGGGGUGACCAAGAGCCCGAUGGGAGCUCUGACAGAGCUCCAGAGUUCCUCUGUGGAGAUGGGAGAACCUUCCAGAAGAACAACCAUCUCUGCAGCACUCAACCAAUCAGGGCAUUAUGGUAGAGUGGCCAGACGGAAGCCACUCCUCAGUAAAAGGCACACGACAGCCCACUUGGAGUCUGCUCUGAUGAAUGCCAAGCAUCGCGUCUGGCAGAAACCUGGCACCAUCCCUACGGGGAAGUUUGGUGGUAGCAGCAUCAUGCUGUGGGGAUUUUGGUCAGCAGCAGGGACUGGGAGACUAGUCAGGAUAGAGGAAAAAAUUAACAGAGCAAAGGACAGAGAGAUCCAUGGAGAAAACCUGCUUCAGAGCGCUCAGGACCUCAGACUGGGGCAAAGGUUCCCCUUCCAACAGGACAACAACCCUAAGCACACAGCCAAGACAACACAGGAGUGGCUUCGGGACAAGUCUCUGAAUGUCCUUGAGUGGCCCAGCCAGAGCCCGAACUUGAGCCCGAUCGAACAUCUCUGGAGAGACCUGAAAAUAGCUGUGCAGCGACGCUCCCCAUCCAACCUGACAGAGUUUGAGAGGAUCUGCAGAAAAGAAUGGGAGAAACUCCCCAAAUACAGGUGUGCCAAGCUUGUAGUGUCAUACCCAAGAAGACUCCAGGCUGUAAUCGCUGCCAAAGGUGCUUCAACAAAGUACUAAGUAAAGGGUCUGAAUACUUAUGUAAAUGUGAUAUUGCCUGGGGGGGGGGGGGUUUGCAAACAUUUCUAAAAACCUGUUUUUGCUUUGUCAUAAUGGGGUAUUGUGUGUGGAUUGAUGAGGGAAAAAACUAUUGAAUACAUUUUAUAAUACUUUCCGAAUGCACUGUAAACAUUAUACCCAAACUAUGUACAUAUACAGUAGUUAAUCUGGAACAUUCUUACGAGGGUUUGAAAACAACAUGUAUUUCCUUUUGCCCAUAUUAGGCACAUGUUUUCAAUAAGUAAGUGAUUCCUGCACAGAUAUCAAAUUCGAUUGUAAUUUUGACACAGCCAGAUCAACAGUCGGGGCAAUAGCAUACAUAAUACUAUCAUACAAAUACAGAUGAAGUUUACCAUUUUGAACCGAUUUACCAAUGGUGUUUAUAUAAAUAGUGAAGAGAACAGGUACCAAAAUCAACCCCCGUGGUACACAAUGUACGUCGAGAAAUUCUGACGUAACCCCAUCAAUCACGAUGACUUGAGUUCUGUCACUAAGAUAAUCAUGAAACCGCGAACAGGCGUCAGAGCUCAGGCCUAUCGAGGACAACCUAUUUUAAUAAAAUAGCAUGAACAACAGUAUCAAAAACGUUUUGACAGGUCAACAAACAAAAUAAGCACAUUUCAUUUUAGCAUUGACAAGCCCAUUAACAACUAAAGUGAUUGUUGUAACAGUGCUCUGCCCAGGCCUAAACCCUGAUUGGUUUACAUUCAGAAUACAUUUCUCAGAUAAAAAAAAGAGCAAAGUUGAACACUCAACGAAGGUUCUAGAAUCUUAUCUCGACCAGGAAGCCUUGAAAUGUGGCGAUAAUGAUUAAGAUCUCUACUAUCCUCGUCCUUAUGGAGUGGCAGCACAAGAUCUGAUUUCCAAUACUUUUAGAAUAUUUCCCGAUAACAACGUUAAAUAACAAAUGGGGGUUAUUGAGCCAACAAUGAUCUGUGCCGCACACUUAAGCAGACCGGGAUCCAAUUGGUUGGCCCCUGUGGAUCUAUUGUUGUCUAUUGCUAGCAAAGCAUCCAGGACUUAUUUCUCUGUAAAUAGCCUAAAAGAAAAUCUUUGACUAUAAAUUCUCUGAUCAUUCAGCAAGUUUCCUCUAUCAUCAUCCAGCCCAAUAUCAUUGUGAAUAGGCUUAGAAGUUCUUGCAAAGAGAGAGCCCGCUGAAAUAAAAUGGUGAUUAAAUGCAUCAAAUUAUGGAUUUUUUUAUAAUGAGGCCAGUGUCUGAUUUAAUUUGUUGUUGCAGAGGAGGAAGUUGAACCCUUCAGGGAUCUUCCAGAAUUCAGCCGGGUUCCCAUUACAAUCCGAAAGUGUGGUUGCAUAAUAAUUUGAUUUAGCCUUUCUGAUUUGUCUUGCACAAUGAUUCCUCAGUUGCUUAAAAACUUGCCAGUCCGGGUGUAAGACUGUGUUCCUGGCCUUGACCCAAGCAUCAUCUCUUUUGUGAAUGACUUCUGAUGAUUCCGGAGUGUACCACGCAUUCGACUGACCUCUAACCCUGAUUUUUUUUUUAAGGGAGCAUGAUUAUCUACAACAGUAUUGAAGACAUCUGCAGAAAGGCUCCAAGCUAAAUCAGGUUCAGGGAUUAGAUGAAAUACAAUCAAGGUCACUAAAAUAAAGAUAAUGUAAAAAAAAGCCUCUUCACUGAAGUUCCUCUUUGUGAUGACACGAAGCUUCGCUUUUUAUAUUCUCACAUCUCUAACAGAAACAACUGGGCAGUGGUCACCAGUGUCUUGGGUGAACACACCAGUAGAAACAUAUUUCUCUGGUGUAUUUGUUAAAAUAAGAUCAAUCAAUCAGAGUUGACUUUGAAGGAUCUUUAGGCUUGGGCCGUGAAGGCUUUGUCACCAGCUGGGUUAGGUUUAGAUCAUUGCACAUGUCUUUUAGAUUGUCUGAAGCCUGCAUUUCCCAAUCAUAAUUUAGGUCACCCAGGAUAAUAAAUUCUGAUUUAGUAAAAGAAGACAAUAAACUAGUUUAACUCCUUGAGUGCACAAAGGUUAGCCAAGGGAGGACGGUAGGCCCCUAUAACAGUUAUGGAUACAUUUUCCCCUAGACAAAGGCUAAAAGAUAGGAGAAAAAAAGUAUUUACAAGGGACAAGGGAUUUCGGUAAAGAGACAGGGACAUUUAAAAAAAUAAUGUAAUGGCCACUCCACUACAUCUACCCUGUCUGUCGGCGCUGAACACAUUACAACCCUUAAUACUAAUAUCAGAGUCCAGAAUUUCCCCAGAGAUCCACGUUUCAGUCAAAACUAGAAUGUCCGGAUUCAUCUGCAUAACCCAGAUCUUGAUGUAAUCCAGUUUAGGAAGUAAACUCUAAAUGUUGAAAUGCAUCAACCCAAGUCCUUUAUGAUUUUAUCAAACCGAGGAGGUAUUCAUCAACUUUAUGGAAUUCACACUUGAACUAAAAGUACUGGGUGAGCAGACUACUGUGGAAUCCUCUUUUUAGCUAACAAUAGCAGAUCUAGGAGUGGAUUCAAAACUAAAUGUUCAAGAAAGCGUACAGUAUUACAUAGAGCCAUUAUUGCAUGGAACUCCCUUCCAUCUCAUAUUGCUCAAAUAAACAGCAGACAUGAUUAAAAAAAAAAACUGAAAAAGCAACACCUCACAGCACAAUGCCUCUCCCCUAUUUGACCUAGAUAGGUUGUGUGUAUGUAUUGAUAUGUAGGCUACGUGUGCCGUUUUUAAAUCUAUGUAAUUCUGUCCUUGAGCUGUUCUUGUCUAUUAAUGUUCUGGAUGAUGUCAUGUUUCAUGUGGAGCCCAGGAAGAGUAGCUGCUGGUUUCGCAACAGCUAAUGGGGAUCCUAAUAAACUACCAAAUAAGCCUGGCAGACAACAGUAGGACGAUAACGCUUAGAAAGGAUGGGAGGUAUUACCUGAGCGGGUCUGCCUCCGAGUCUAUAUCUUAACGCAGCCUUGACAUAUGAAGAUAGGGUCCAGGCUCCAAGAUGGAUUGGGUCCAUCAUCUCUGUAAAGCAUCUUUCUUUUCCAAAAAGUGUCGAAAUUGUCUAUUAAAGUUGUGCUAACAGAGUGGCAGUGACAGCCGCAUCUAUUCUCAAAAAUAAUGAUGUAUCAUGAUGAAUGUGUUUAUUUAUUUAACCCGGUAAAUUGACUGAGAACACAUUCUCAUGUACAGCAAUGACCUGGGGAAUAGUUGCAUGGGGGGAGGAGGUGGAUGAAGGAGCCAAAAAUGCAUGCAUUUUGCGUACCAACUACGCAAUUAUCGGUCAAUGUACGCAGGUACGAGAUCCGAGUUAAAAGUACGCAGAAAUGAAUAGGGCCUGAUUUUUUUUUACAUCGUAAUAAAAAAGAAAUCCACUGAGUAAAUCUAGCAUCCCAAUUCUCGAGCUGCAACACACAGACAUGUACUGUGUUUGUGUCAACGGACAUGGAGAUGAAUACAUUAUUAUUCGACAUAGCUACCCCGGGUCUGCUCCUCCGCCUGUUUGUUGUGAUGCUGAGUUUGCCGGCUGUCAGCUGUACGUGAACACAUGGGACAAAUCCCUUUUCGACUCCGUGUGUUGUGGAAAGGUAAACACUAAUUGUUUCAAGCUAACGUUUUGGGUUGCCUAGUUAAAUAAAGGCUAAAUAAAAAAUGUAAAAACGUUAGCAAACAUAAGAUGGACAUUCAGUGGGCUCUAAAAGGCCAGCAGUUCACUCGCAUUUGCUCGUGAAAGAAAUUAAAUGCAAAUCCGAAAAAUAACUGGUUGCAUUUGUGCGAGUGUGAUAUACAUUUAAUUCUGCGUCCCAUUAGUUGUAUUUUCCACCUAACGUGACGAGGAUCCCGCAACCUGAUAGACUGUAACUAUAAUUAUGAUCCACGUCACAAAAAGCAUUGCAACAGUAUAAUCAAAAAUAAAUAGAAACAUCUUGGCAUUAAAUGGAGUCGGGAGUUUAGAAGACUGCGGGAUGACGAAUGAGUGAGUGUCCGGUAUCAGCUAUAGAGGCAAUGCUUCUAACAUGCCUUUGCACUAGAUUUGAGAUUUUAUCAAUUUCUAAAAUCUGAAAUGAUCUAUACGCUGCAAAGAAAUCCAAUAGGCACCUUUACAUAGGCUGAAACACCGGACUCUUCCAGCGGACAGCGUUCAGAUUCCCUUUGCGGUAGCCUAAUGAAGAUUUGUGUAGCCAGUUUGCGGUCUGUGUCGAUGCGAUCAUUUUGUUUUAGUUUUCAAAAUGAUUUUGCUUUUAGUGUUGAUUAGGAACCGUGUCUAAAAAGCCAAUACUUGUGAGCUGGCCCUAGUGAUUGGCCCUGUUUGAGAGAUGACAAGCGUUCCUCUACAAUAAGGACUAAACUUGGGGCCAAGCCAAGCUGGAUCUGAAGACAUUUUAUGCAGACGUCAGAAACGUAUUUAUCUACUGCAGUAGACUACAUGUUGCUGAAAUGUCCAUUUGAGGAUGUUUGCUCCUCCAGCAUGCAGUGGUUGCUGACAUUGGCAACAGGCAGACUGUCGAGUUCUCAUCCCUCAACUUUUUCAUGGCAAGCUUUCCCUGCAUGAUUCCUGAGGGAACCUCCAUGGAUCUGGUGGAAGAUGAGUUUGGACUCUAUCAGGCAACAACCUUUGAGCAGAACCUGGUCAACAUGCGCAAGGAUCAGACCUGGAGAGAAAUCAGCCCAAUGAAAAGGGGGGUAGCCUGGUCUACUCCCACCUUUCGGCUGUGAUGCUGGGGAUAUAUUCCACAGCAAUGCAGACUGGGAACAAAUAUUCAGUCUUGUUUCCAAGAACAAAACCCAGUACAGAGACUCCCUCAGUACAGACCUGCUGAGUGCCCUCGUUACCAAGAAGGUUUCUAUGAUUGCCAGAGGAACAGUUUUCCACAGAGAAGUCUACCCUGAUGCUCUGCUGCAAGGCUAAAUCUGCUAGCUACCAGGCUAAUCUGUCUAGGAAAUGAUUUCCUGAACAUUUGAAGGUCUCCAGAAGAUUAGUUCUCACCCACUGUUUCCUAUCAUAGCUUUUUCCUUUUUAUGAUGGAUAACAUGUUGAUUUGAUACUCAUGCUCCGCUUCAAACCCCAAUUUGGCACGCGCUACGGCCGUGCAGUUGAAUCUCCAAUUUGCCACGCGUGUCUGGUACUCUAAAAAAGUUGGACAGGGUGACAGCCAGAUUGGGAAUUCAGCCAGGACACCAGAGUUAACAGAUCACCGUAGACUUGGAAGGUGGUGCCACCAAUCUGGAUAAAAUCUGUUUCCCCGUAUGAAGGAAAGUGGUUGGUAAAAUAGGUUGGCGAGGAAUCAGCUAAAAGUCAAUCCACACAGUGUGAUAGUUAGUUAGAUUGAAUCACACAGUUAGUAGGAUCACCACAGUUCCAGGCAGCAAGCCAGAACCCAACCACAGACUAAAAACCAGCCAGCAAUAGGACCCACAAUAAACAAGGAACAAAACAGGCCAGCAUUACAACAGCAAGGAGAGAGCAGUGACUUAGCAAAUUCUGGGGCCCAUCAAAACAGCAACACAAUGGAGGCCAUGUUAACAGUAUGAUAGCCAGGAGAGAAGCACCUUGGAGGGGAUGUAGUUUCUAGUAGAGGCCGCUGGAAGCCGGGAGGGGGGCAAGCGCUACAGAGUAAAUCCAAGUUGUCUAAACAAAGUUUGGCGGUAGUCAAACAACAUCCAAGGCGCAAUGUCAAGCAGCAGUAGGCAGGUGUCUACUCAGAUAAUGCCCCAGUGCAGGUCCCAGUUCAGGCCCCAGUGCAGGUCCCAGUUCAGGCCCCAGUGCAGGUCCCAGUUCAGGCCCCAGUGCAGGCCCCAGUGCAGGUCCCAGUGCAGGUCCCAGUUCAGGCCCCAGUGCAGGCCCCAGUGCAGGCCCCAGUGCAGGCCCCAGUGCAGGUCCCAGUGCAGGCCCCAGUGCAGGCCCCAGUGCAGGCCCCAGUGCAGGCCCCAGUGCAGGUCCCAGUUCAGGUCCCAGUGCAGGUUCCAGUGCAGGUCCCAGUGCAGAGUAGGGUGUCCAAGUAUAUCCAAGUAGGCCUCAAAAGUUUCAGCAGACCUGUUUUGUAUGUCUCCUUAAAAACUCUGCAUGCAAUAUUGAGCUAUUGUCCAAUGUGUUCAUAGUCAGAUUAAACAACGCUAAAUAGAGACAAACACAGCUACAAACAUUGAUCAGAGAAAAAAGACCUGCUUACUGGCAUCUUGGUCAUAGCUCAGUUUGUAAAUGCCAUAGAGAUGAACCAAAGAUGUUCCCAUGUGUAUCCGAGUUCCGUCUUCCUUGGGCAUUUUAACACUUGUUUCUAGCCUAAAGCGUUGUGGACUUACGUGUCAAUGUAAAAAUAUAUAUACAGGGCACUCGGAAAGUAUUCAGACCCUUCCCCUUUUCCACAUUUUGUCACAGCCUUAUUGUGAAAUGUAUUUACCAUAUUUUUUCCCUCACAAUACCCAAUAGUGGCAACGUGAAAACAGGUUUUUAGAAAUGUUGGCAAAUGUAUACAUUUUUUAAACAGAAAUACCUUAUUUACAUAAGUAUUCAGACUCUUUGCUAUGAGACUCAAAAUUGAGCUCAGGUGCUUCCUGUUUCCAUUGAUCAUCCUUGAGAUGUUUCUACAACUUGGUUGGAGUCCACCUGUGGUAAAUUCAAUUGAUUGGACAUGAUUUGGAAAGGCACGCACUUGUCUAUAUAAGGUCACACAUUUGACAGUGCAUGUCACAGCAAAAACAAAACCAAGCCAUGAGGUAAAAGGAAUUGUCCGUAGAGCUCCGAGACAGGAUUGUGUCGGCACAGAUCUGGGGAAGGGUACCAAAAAAUGUCUGCAGCAUUGAAGGUCCCCAAGAACACAUGAUCCUCCAUCAUUCUUAAAGGGAAGAAGUUUGGAACCACCAAGGCUCUUCCUAGAGCUGGCUGCCUGGCCAAACUGAGCAAUCGGGGGAGAAGGGCCUUGGUCAGGGAGUUGAUCAAGAACCCGAUGGUCACUCUGACAGAACUCCAGAGUUCCUCUGUGGAGAUGGGAGAACCUUCCAGAAGGACAACCAUCUCUGCAGCACUCCACCAAUCUGGCCUUUUAUGGUAGAGGGGCCAGACUGAAGCCACUCCUCAGUAAAAGGCUCAUGACAGCCCUCUUGGAGUUUGCCAAAAGGCACCUAAAGGACUCUCAGAACAUUCCCUGGUCUGAUGAAACCAAGAUUGAACUCUUUGGCCUGAAUGCCAAGCAUCACGUCUGGAGAUAACCUGGCACCAUCCCUACGGUGAAGCAUGGUGGUGGCAGCAUCAUGCUGUGGAGAUGUUUUUCUGCAGCAGGGACUGGGAGACUAGUCAGGAUCGAGGGAAAGAUGAACGGAGCAAAGUACAGAGAGAUCCUUGAUGAAAACCUGCUCCAGAGCACUCAGGACCUCAGACUGGAGCGAAGGUUCACCUUCCAACAAGACAAUGACCCUAAGCACACAGCCAAGACAAGCUUGUAGCGUCAUACCCAAGAAGACCCGAGGUUGUAAUCGCUGCCAAAGUUGCUUCAACAAAGUACCUUUGUAAAGGGUCUGAAUACUUAUGUGAAUGUCAUAUUUCAGUUUUUUAUUUGUAAUGCAUUUGCAAACAUUUCUAAAAACCUGUUUUACUUUGUCAUUAUGGGUAUAGAUUGAUGAGGGAAAAAAAAUAUUUAAUCCAUUUUAGAAUAAGGCUGUAACGUAACAAAAUGUGGAAAAAGUCAAGGGGUUUGAAUACUUUCAGAAUGCAUUGUAUACUAUAACAAUAUUUCUGUAUUCUCCCCCUAGCUGGCUAUCAAAACACAUUAUGCAGUCACUCCGUCAAAACACAGCCUUCAAAUUUAUGCUGACUGUACAUGAUUGUUUUCUGAAAACAGAGUACAUUCAUCAUCCAAUCACUCAGUCUGUCUGAUGGCUGUACUUACAUCUCUGACUCUUUUCUAAAUAUCUAACUAAAUCUGUGACUAUUUUCCAGUAUCCUUCGCUCACAAACGGAGUUGUUUGUGUGUGUGCGUGUUUGUUUGUGCGUGGCAUGCAUACUUAUUCUGACAUUAAGUGUGGGACCAUGGCAAGUCUCACUGCAGGACUCCUCUCAGAAAUCUAUUUCUCAAAAUCGUUUUUUUUCAUUCUGUGUCCAUCCAAUCAAUAUACUACCUACUGCCCUCUCUCUCUCCUCCUCCUCCCCUCUCUCCUCCCCUCUCUCUCCUCCUCCUCCCCUCUCCUCCUCCUCCUCCUCCCCUCUCUUUCUCUCCUCCUCCUCCCCUCUCUUUCUCUCCUCCUCCUCCCCUCUCUUUCUCUCCUCCUCCUCCCCUCUCUCUCUCUCUCUCUCUCCUCCUCCUCCCCUCUCUUUCUCCUCCUCCCCUCUCUCUCCUCCUCCUCCUCCUCCUCCUCCUCCUCUCUCCUCCUCCUCCCCCUCUCUUUCUCUCCUCCUCCUCCCCUCUCUUUCUCUCCUCCUCCCCCUCUCUCCUCCUCCUCAUCCCCUCUCUUUCUCUCCUCCUCCUCCCCUCUCCACCUCCUCCUCCUCCUCCCCUCUCUUUCUCUCCUCCUCCUCCCCUCUUUCUCUCCUCCUCCUCCCCUCUCUUUCUCUCCUCCUCCUCCUCUCUCUCUCCUCCUCCUCCCCUCUCUUUCUCUCCUCCUCCUCCCCUCUCUUUCUCUCCUCCUCCUCCCCUCUCUUUCUCUCCUUCUCCUCCCCUCUCUCCUCCUCCUCCUCCCCUCUCUCUCCUCCUCCUCCUCCCCUCUCUCCUCCUCUCCUCCCCUCUCUCCUCCUCCUCCUCCCCUCUCUCUCCUCCUCCUCCCCUCUCUCUCCUCCUCCUCCUCCCCUCUCUCUCCUGCUCACUCUGUGAAUGAUUCCCACAUCCUACUCUUCAGGGGCACUACUUUCCAAUCAAUGCUCUUUACAUCUCUCUCUUUCUCUCAAUACCCCACAUCUACCGCUCCUCUUUCUCUCUAUACCCCACAUCUACCCCUCCUCUCUUUAACACUAUACCCAACCUAUACCUCUCAUCUCUUUCCCUCUAUACGCCACCUCACCCUCUCUCUUUCUCCCCCGGCACUCCAUCUUUCUCUAUAUAUUUAUCUCUCCCUAUCAACCCUUUCCCUCUCUGUCUUUCUGUCAAAUAGCAUUUUAUGUGUCACAUGCUUUGUAAACAACGGGUGUAAACAGUGAAAUGCUUACUUACAGACUGUGGUCCAACCUCUUACAUCUAGGGGUUCCACUAGCGGAACCCCUAGCCAACAGCCAAUGGGAUCGCAUGGCGGGAAAUACAAAAACAACUAAAAUACCACAAUUCCAUUUUCUCAAACAUACGACUAUUUUACACCAUUUGAAAGAUAAACCUCUCCUGAAUCCAACCACAUUGUCUGAUUUCAAAAAGGCUUUACAGCGAAAGCAAAACAUUAGAUUAUGUUAGGAUACCACCACAGCAAAAAAACAACAACACAGCCAUUUUCCUAGCAAGGACAGCCAUUUUCCAAGCAAGGGUCCCAAAGCACAAAACCAGCUACAAUUAUGCACUAACCUUUGACGAUCUUCAUCAGAUGACACUCCUAGGACAUUAUGUUAGACAAUACAUGCAUUUUUUGUUCCAUCAAGUUCAUAUUUAUAUCCCCAAAAAAAACAUUUUACAUUGGCGCGUGACGUUCAGAAAAUGUAUUCCCACCAAAAACUUCCUGUGAAUUUACAAAAAUACUCAUCAUAAACGUUGACAAAAUACAUAACAAUUAUUUUAAGAAUUAUAGAUACAGUACUCUUUUAUGCACCCGCUGUGUCAGAUUUCAAAAUAACUUUAUGUAGAAAGCACAUUGUUCAAUAUUCUGAGUACUGAGCACCAUGCUAUUCAGUUAGCCGUCCAGCCACGGCAUCCACAAAACGCUGAAAUAUGUUAAAAAUAUUAUCUUACCUUUGCUGAUCUUCGGCUGAAUGCACUCAGAAGGUCUCCCACUUCCACAAGAAAUGUUCAUUUGUUCGAUAAAGUCCAUCAUUUAUGUCGAAAUAAAUCAGUUUUGAUGGCGCGUCCAGAUCACCAUUCCAAAAUGCAUCUAUCCACCGUCGACGAAAAGUUAUAAAGUUCCCUCAGCGUUUGUAGAAACAUGUCAAACCAUGUUCAAUCAAUCUUUAGGGUGUUAUUAUAGUAGAAUUUCAAUAAUAUUCCAACUGGACAAUAGCAGAUUCAUUACAAAAGAAAAAUGGCUAAUCCUUCGUGAGCGUGCGCGAGGUGAGGCAAUGACACCAGGUCGACCACAUACUGUUCCGGGUAUUAUUAUAUCAAAUUGUAUUCUAGAAGCCUCAAACGAGGUUCUAAUGACUGUUGACAUCUAGUGGAAGCCUUAGGAAUGCAAUAUGAC
This 12043-nucleotide long non-coding RNA is filed under the name Salmo salar (Atlantic salmon). RNAcentral's name for it is "lncRNA (ENSSSAG00000087109.1)". The record is from RNAcentral. Lineage: Eukaryota; Metazoa; Chordata; Actinopteri; Salmoniformes; Salmonidae.